This is a non-coding RNA of Loa loa (African eye worm), 47 nucleotides long. The record is from Rfam. Lineage: Eukaryota; Metazoa; Nematoda; Chromadorea; Rhabditida; Onchocercidae.
AAAAAGGUUCUCUUAAGAACCAAAUUCCAUUCAAAAUUUGAAUUUUU